RNAcentral lists this ribosomal RNA (493 nucleotides) under uncultured bacterium. RNAcentral's name for it is "partial 16S ribosomal RNA". It matches the Rfam family "Bacterial small subunit ribosomal RNA", at positions 27 to 507 of the family's 1533-position model. The record is from RNAcentral.
GAGUGAACGCUGGCGGUAGGCCUAACACAUGCAAGUCGAACGGCAGCACAGUAAGAGCUUGCUCUUACGGGUGGCGAGUGGCGGACGGGUGAGGAAUACAUCGGAAUCUACUUUUUCGUGGGGGAUAACGUAGGGAAACUUACGCUAAUACCGCAUACGACCUACGGGUGAAAGCAGGGGAUCUUCGGACCUUGCGCGAUUGAAUGAGCCGAUGUCGGAUUAGCUAGUUGGCGGGGUAAAGGCCCGCCAAGGCGACGAUCCGUAGCUGGUCUGAGAGGAUGAUCAGCCACACUGGAACUGAGACACGGUCCAGACUCCUACGGGAGGCAGCAGUGGGGAAUAUUGGACAAUGGGCGCAAGCCUGAUCCAGCCAUACCGCGUGGGUGAAGAAGGCCUUCGGGUUGUAAAGCCCUUUUGUCGGGAAAGAAAAGCAGCAGGUUAAUACCCCGCUGUUCUGACGGUACCCAAAGAAUAAGCACCGGCUAACUUCGUG